GAGAACAAUGAGAUCUGGUGGCAUCUGAGUGGUUCUUAAUGACAUCCAUGUGAACAGAAAUCUGAGGUCAGA
Grammomys surdaster is the source of this 72-nucleotide small nucleolar RNA. RefSeq annotates it as small nucleolar RNA SNORD113/SNORD114 family. The transcript has a single exon. NCBI's taxonomy places the organism in Eukaryota, Metazoa, Chordata, Mammalia, Rodentia, Muridae. The record is from RefSeq and is a predicted model, not a curated record.